CCGCGGUAAUACAUAGGGAGCAAGCGUUAUCCGGAUUUAUUGGGUGUAAAGGGUGCGUAGACGGGAAAUUAAGUUAGUUGUGAAAUCCCUCGGCUUAACUGAGGAACUGCAACUAAAACUGAUUUUCUUGAGUGAAGUAGAGGUUGGCGGAAUUCCGAGUGUAGCGGUGAAAUGCGUAGAUAUUCGGAGGAACACCGGUGGCGAAGGCGGCCAACUGGGCUUUAACUGACGCUGAGGCUCGAAAGUGUGGGGAGCAAACAGG
RNAcentral lists this ribosomal RNA (262 nucleotides) under uncultured bacterium. RNAcentral describes it as "partial 16S ribosomal RNA". It matches the Rfam family "Bacterial small subunit ribosomal RNA", at positions 515 to 776 of the family's 1533-position model. The record is from RNAcentral.